AAAUAUUACAUUACUCAGAAAUUUAAUUUAAUAUCCUUUUUCAACCUUCUCGUUGUUAUUUCUUUUUGUUCCUUUGGUGUUUCUUCAACCCUUGUUUGUUGUUGCACAGCAUAUACAAUUUAGUGAUUUCGACUAGUCUUUGUUGGUUGCUCCUAUUGACUCCUAUUCUUUGCUGCAGGGAUUUCGUUGCAGAGUAUAUUAAAGGACGUCCAAUUCAUUGUCGUGGAUUGACUUGAUCAUGAUAUUGCUUAUUCUUAGUAAUGAUUGCUGCAAUUGAUGACUAGGGAAUGGACUGGAUGUAUUUGCCCAUUGUCAAUCUUUGUAAAUGAUGUUUAGUGGGUCAAACGCUGCAAAUUCUUGCAACAUAUUUAAGUGGAAGUGGCAUGGUGAAUCUUCUUUGACUGCAAGAUUGCUUAACGAUGUACCUCCAGAGAUUGAAUUAUCUUAUUACAGAAGGGUACCAAGUCCUGGUAGCGAGAGCCCUUCAGGGCUUCUUAAUGGUGAGAGUUUGAAUGUGGAACCAAUUGCGGAUUUGGACCUUUUCUUGUAAAGGCUCUACAGCUACUAUUGUGAGAAAGGGCUCUGGUGUAUCAUUAUAAAAUGGAUUGUUGAGCUUUUCAACCCGGGUUUCACCAUAUGUUUCUCAGGAUUUUUCUUAUUAUAUGUUGAUUAGAAUGGCCUUCGUAAUGCUAAAUGUGGGAUGGAUGCAGUUGAAUCUAGAAUUAAGGCCUGUGAUCUUGCUAAAGAAGCUCUUCAUCAGCACCCAUUAACCCCUCUAACACUUUCAAAGGCUAUUAUUGUUGGAUAUUUGGGUAUAUUUUCCAUUUAUUGGCUCUUUUGUUUUUUGAGGUUUUUUGCUCAGCUAAGAGUAACUCUUGGAAUCCGUCAUUUCUAUUAUAAUAGUCUUGAUGUUACAGAUAAUGAAAUUCAAACCAUUCCAUGGGCAGCGAUUCUUGAAAAGGUUGUCUAGCUACAAAGUUCGCAACAGCUCUGUGUGGUUAAGGAUCUUUCUACUCAUGAUGUGGUGAUGCGAUUGAUGCGAAAGGAAAACUACUUGAUCGGAAUGCUUAACAAGGGAGUACUUGCAUUUCCAAUCUCAAAAUGGGUCCCUGGUGCUGGUCCAACUGUCAAAUCUGGUUCAAAGGGAAAGCGCCAUCGUUUGAUACUGACUAAAACCCUUGAGUGGACCUGAAAUUGGUGCGUACUA
Long non-coding RNA from Ziziphus jujuba (common jujube), 1207 nucleotides. RefSeq lists it as uncharacterized. NCBI's taxonomy places the organism in Eukaryota, Viridiplantae, Streptophyta, Magnoliopsida, Rosales, Rhamnaceae. The transcript has 4 exons. The record is from RefSeq and is a predicted model, not a curated record.